This 73-nucleotide transfer RNA is filed under the name Picochlorum sp. SENEW3. RNAcentral describes it as "tRNA-Trp". It matches the Rfam family "tRNA". From Rfam's summary of the family: Transfer RNA (tRNA) molecules are approximately 80 nucleotides in length. Their secondary structure includes four short double-helical elements and three loops (D, anti-codon, and T loops). RNAcentral also lists the same sequence under 1 other name. The record is from RNAcentral. Lineage: Eukaryota; Viridiplantae; Chlorophyta; Trebouxiophyceae.
AGGAGAAUAGUUUUAAUGGUAGAAUAAUGGUCUCCAAAACCAGAGGUUAAGGGUUCGACUCCCUUUUCUCCUG